CACUCAGGGGCAACGAUGGGUAGCCGAUUUGAGAGGGUGAUCGGCCACACUGGAACUGAGACACGGCCCAGACUCCUACGGGAGGCAGCAGUGGGGAAUAUUGCGCAAUGGGCGAAAGCCUGACGCAGCAACGCCGCGUGAGGGAUGAAGGUCUUCGGAUCGUAAACCUCUGUCAGAAGGGAAGAAAAUGCACUGUGCUAAUCAGGAGUGCCUUGACGGUACCUUCACAGGAAGCACCGGCUAACUCCGUGGCAGCAGCCGCGGUAAUACUGAGGGUGCAAACGUUAUUCGGAAUCACUGGGCGUAAAGCGCACGUAGGCUGCUUUGUAAGUCAGGGGUGAAAUCCCACGGCUCAACCCUGGAACUGCCUUUAAUACUGCUUAGCUUGAGUCCGGGAGAGGGUGGGGGAAUUCCAGGUGUAGGAGUGAAAUCCGUAGAUAUCUGGAGGAACAUCAGUGGCGAAGGCGGCCACCUGGACCGGUAUUGACGCUGAGAUGCGAAAGCGUGGGAAGCAAACAGGAUUACAUACCCUGCUAGUCCACGCAGUAAACGAUGAAUGCUAGAUGUCGGACAAA
This 575-nucleotide ribosomal RNA is filed under the name Desulfovibrio sp. enrichment culture clone CIBANICRA-SRB27. RNAcentral's name for it is "bacterial SSU rRNA". It matches the Rfam family "Bacterial small subunit ribosomal RNA", at positions 264 to 831 of the family's 1533-position model. Lineage: Bacteria; Pseudomonadati; Thermodesulfobacteriota; Desulfovibrionia; Desulfovibrionales; Desulfovibrionaceae. The record is from RNAcentral.